This 730-nucleotide ribosomal RNA is filed under the name bacterium T151. RNAcentral's name for it is "bacterial SSU rRNA". It matches the Rfam family "Bacterial small subunit ribosomal RNA", at positions 28 to 775 of the family's 1533-position model. RNAcentral also lists the same sequence under 1 other name. The record is from RNAcentral.
GACGAACGCUGGCGGCGUGCUUAACACAUGCAAGUCGAGCGGUAAGGCCUUUCGGGGUACACGAGCGGCGAACGGGUGAGUAACACGUGGGUGAUCUGCCCUGCACUUCGGGAUAAGCCUGGGAAACUGGGUCUAAUACCGGAUAUGACCUCCUAUCGCAUGGUGGGUGGUGGAAAGAUUUAUCGGUGCAGGAUGGGCCCGCGGCCUAUCAGCUUGUUGGUGGGGUAAUGGCCUACCAAGGCGACGACGGGUAGCCGACCUGAGAGGGUGACCGGCCACACUGGGACUGAGACACGGCCCAGACUCCUACGGGAGGCAGCAGUGGGGAAUAUUGCACAAUGGGCGAAAGCCUGAUGCAGCGACGCCGCGUGAGGGAUGACGGCCUUCGGGUUGUAAACCUCUUUCAGCAGGGACGAAGCGCAAGUGACGGUACCUGCAGAAGAAGCACCGGCUAACUACGUGCCAGCAGCCGCGGUAAUACGUAGGGUGCAAGCGUUGUCCGGAAUUACUGGGCGUAAAGAGUUCGUAGGCGGUUUGUCGCGUCGUUUGUGAAAACCAGCAGCUCAACUGCUGGCUUGCAGGCGAUACGGGCAGACUUGAGUACUGCAGGGGAGACUGGAAUUCCUGGUGUAGCGGUGAAAUGCGCAGAUAUCAGGAGGAACACCGGUGGCGAAGGCGGGUCUCUGGGCAGUAACUGACGCUGAGGAACGAAAGCGUGGGUAGCGAACAG